GAUGAAGAACGCAGCGAAAUGCGAUACGUAAUGUGAAUUGCAAAUUCAGUGAAUCAUCGAGUCUUUGAACGCACAAUGCGCCCCCUGGUAUUCCGGGGGGCAUGCCUGUCCGAGCGUCAUUGCUGCCCUCAAGCACGGCUUGUGUGUUGGGCCCCGUCCUCCGAUCCCGGGGGACGGGCCCGAAAGGCAGCGGCGGCACCGCGUCCGGUCCUCGAGCGUAUGGGGCUUUGUCACCCGCUCUGUAGGCCCGGCCGGCGCUUGCCGAUCAACCCAAAUUUUUUAUCCAGGUUGACCUCGGAUCAGGUAGGGAUACCCGCUGAACUUAAGCAUAUCAAUAAGCGGAGGA
Molecule: unclassified non-coding RNA, 346 nt
Filed under: soil metagenome
Description: partial contains 5.8S ribosomal RNA, internal transcribed spacer 2, and large subunit ribosomal RNA
Rfam family: 5.8S ribosomal RNA (bases 1-119)
Source: RNAcentral